AAUCAACGCUGGCGGCGUGCCUCAGACAUGCAAGUCGAACGAUUAAAGCUCUCUUCGGAGAGUGUAUAGAGUGGCGCACGGGUGAGUACCACGUAAGUAAUCUACCCUCGAGUGGGGAAUAACAACCGGAAACGGUUGCUAAUACCGCAUAAUGCAGCGGCACCGCAAGGUGACAGUUGUUAAAGAUUUAUCGCUUGAGGAGGAGCUUGCGGCAGAUUAGCUAGUUGGUAGGGUAACGGCUUACCAAGGCUACGAUCUGUAACCGGUCUAAGAGGACGGUCGGUCACACUGACACUGAAUAACGGGUCAGACUCCUACGGGAGGCAGCAGUCGGGAAUUUUGGGCAAUGGGCGAAAGCCUGACCCAGCAACGCCGCGUGAAGGAUGAAGUAUUUCGGUAUGUAAACUUCGAAAGAAUAGGAAGAAUUAAUGACGGUACUAUUUAUAAGGUCCGGCUAACUACGUG
This 465-nucleotide ribosomal RNA is filed under the name uncultured bacterium. RNAcentral's name for it is "bacterial SSU rRNA". It matches the Rfam family "Bacterial small subunit ribosomal RNA", at positions 32 to 507 of the family's 1533-position model. The record is from RNAcentral.